GACGAACGCUGGCGGCGUGCUUAACACAUGCGAGUCGAACGGAAAGGCCUCUUUCGGGGGGUACUCGAGUGGCGAACGGGUGAGUAACACGUGAGUAACCUGCCCUUGACUUUGGGAUAACUUCAGGAAACUGGGGCUAAUACCGGAUAGGAGCUCCUGCUGCAUGGUGGGGGUUGGAAAGUUUCGGCGGUUGGGGAUGGACUCGCGGCUUAUCAGCUUGUUGGUGGGGUAGUGGCUUACCAAGGCUUUGACGGGUAGCCGGCCUGAGAGGGUGACCGGCCACAUUGGGACUGAGAUACGGCCCAGACUCCUACGUGAGUCAGCAGUGGGGAAUAUUGCACAAUGGGUGGAAGCCUGAUGCAGCAACGCCGUGUGCGGGAUGACGGCCUUCGGGUUGUAAACCGCUUUCGCUCAUGACGAAGCUUUGUGUGACGGUAGUGGGUAAAGAAGCACCGGCUAACUACGUG
This 467-nucleotide ribosomal RNA is filed under the name uncultured bacterium. Its description in RNAcentral is "partial 16S ribosomal RNA". It matches the Rfam family "Bacterial small subunit ribosomal RNA", at positions 28 to 507 of the family's 1533-position model. The record is from RNAcentral.